Molecule: ribosomal RNA, 499 nt
Filed under: uncultured bacterium
Lineage: Bacteria
Description: partial 16S ribosomal RNA
Rfam family: Bacterial small subunit ribosomal RNA
Source: RNAcentral
GACGAACGCUGGCGGCGUGCCUAAUACAUGCAAGUCGAGCGAAGUUUUUCUGGUGCUUGCACUAGAAAAACUUAGCGGCGAACGGGUGAGUAACACGUAAAGAACCUGCCUCAUAGACUGGGACAACUAUUGGAAACGAUAGCUAAUACCGGAUAACAGUAUUUCUCGCAUGAGAGAUAUUUAAAAGUUGGUUAUGCUAACACUAUGAGAUGGCCUUGCGGUACAUUAGCUAGUUGGGGGGGUAAAGGCCCACCAAGGCGACGUUGCAUAGCCGACCUGAGAGGGUGAUCGGCCACCCUGGGACUCAGGCACGGCCCAGACUCCAACGGGAAGCAGCAGUAGGGAAUAUUCCACAAUGAGCGAAAGCCUGACGGAGCAAAGCCGCGUGACUGAAGAAGGAUUUCGGUUCGUAAAGCUCUGUUGUUAGGGAAGAAUAGAUAUGUAGUAAAUAUGCAUGUAAAAGACGGUACCUAACCAGAAAGCCACGGCUAACUAAGUG